This 497-nucleotide ribosomal RNA is filed under the name uncultured bacterium. Its description in RNAcentral is "partial 16S ribosomal RNA". It matches the Rfam family "Bacterial small subunit ribosomal RNA", at positions 28 to 507 of the family's 1533-position model. The record is from RNAcentral.
GAUGAACGCUGGCGGCGUGCCUAAUACAUGCAAGUCGAGCGAACAGACGAGGAGCUUGCUCCUCUGACGUUAGCGGCGGACGGGUGAGUAACACGUGGAUAACCUACCUAUAAGACUGGGAUAACUUCGGGAAACCGGAGCUAAUACCGGAUAAUAUAUUGAACCGCAUGGUUCAAUAGCGAAAGACGGUUUUGCUGUCACUUAUAGAUGGAUCCGCGCCGCAUUAGCUAGUUGGUAAGGUAACGGCUUACCAAGGCAACGAUGCGUAGCCGACCUGAGAGGGUGAUCGGCCACACUGGAACUGAGACACGGUCCAGACUCCUACGGGAGGCAGCAGUAGGGAAUCUUCCGCAAUGGGCGAAAGCAUGACGGAGCAACGCCGCGUGAGUGAUGAAGGUCUUCGGAUCGUAAAACUCUGUUAUUAGGGAAGAACAAAUGUGUAAGUAACUAUGCACGUCUUGACGGUACCUAAUCAGAAAGCCACGGCUAACUACGUG